Balaenoptera ricei (Rice's whale) is the source of this 719-nucleotide long non-coding RNA. RefSeq lists it as uncharacterized. The transcript is spliced from 3 exons. The record is from RefSeq and is a predicted model, not a curated record. Lineage: Eukaryota; Metazoa; Chordata; Mammalia; Artiodactyla; Balaenopteridae.
UGUUUCUCUACAAAUAAAAUGAUUUAGUGGCUAAGAAGCAUGGACUCCAAAGCCAGAUUGCCUGCAUUCAAAUUCUGGAUUUACUACUGAUUCAGUGGAAGCCUACAGUAAAGAAACCUGUUUACCUCGGAGUUUCUCACACUUGGAAACCUCUUUGAACAUAUGUCUAUAAGCGUCUUGUGCAGGUGGAAGAAGUGAACUACAUGAUGACCAGACUGUAGCCAUGACAUAAGCUGCCACAAUUCCAAGAAUUGGCCUCAAAGAAAUGGAAACAAACCGACCCUGGAACUGAAGAUUAACUGUACCUAAAACAAUCGAGAUGAUGCUGGUCAGACCACCAAUGACCAAUUUCAAGAUGACUGUCAGAGCUGACUGUGCUGUUUCUGCACGUAGCCCCCUCCCUCUGUCUAUAAAGCUCUUGCCCCCUGAUUGUCAGGGUGGAAGUGGGCCUUUGGACAGGCGUGUGCCCUGCCCCUCCCCCGCUCCCCCCACCACGGUUGCCGGCCUCUGAAAUAAAGCAAACUUUCCUUUGCUACCAACACUUGCCUCUCGAAAACUGGCUUUCGAGCGGUGAGCCGCCAGACCUGGGUUCGGUAACAGAUUUUGGCGUGGUGAGCCAGCCAGGGUAACACUUGUACAUGCUUAAAAAUAUGUGCAAGUGUGUCUAUGGGAUAAAUUUCUAAAAGUAAAAUUUCUGGGACAAAGGAUGUAUAAAUUUU